AUUGUACGCUGGCGGCAGGCUUAACACAUGCAAGUCGAACGAUGACUCUCUAGCUUGCUAGAGAAGAUUAGUGGCGGACGGGUGAGUAACAUUUAGGAAUCUGCCUAGUAGUGGGGGAUAGCUCGGGGAAACUCGAAUUAAUACCGCAUACGACCUACGGGUGAAAGGGGGCGCAAGCUCUUGCUAUUAGAUGAGCCUAAAUCAGAUUAGCUAGUUGGUGGGGUAAAGGCCCACCAAGGCGACGAUCUGUAACUGGUCUGAGAGGAUGAUCAGUCACACCGGAACUGAGACACGGUCCGGACUCCUACGGGAGGCAGCAGUGGGGAAUAUUGGACAAUGGGGGCAACCCUGAUCCAGCCAUGCCGCGUGUGUGAAGAAGGCCUUUUGGUUGUAAAGCACUUUAAGCAGGGAGGAGAGACUAAUGGUUAAUACCCAUUAGAUUAGACGUUACCUGCAGAAUAAGCACCGGCUAACUCUGUGCCAGCAGCCGCGGUAAUACAGAGGGUGCGAGCGUUAAUCGGAAUUACUGGGCGUAAAGCGAGUGUAGGUGGCUCAUUAAGUCACAUGUGAAAUCCCCGGGCUUAACCUGGGAACUGCAUGUGAUACUGGUGGUGCUAGAAUAUGUGAGAGGGAAGUAGAAUUCCAGGUGUAGCGGUGAAAUGCGUAGAGAUCUGGAGGAAUACCGAUGGCGAAGGCAGCUUCCUGGCAUAAUAUUGACACUGAGAUUCGAAAGCGUGGGUAGCAAACAGGAUUAGAUACCCUGGUAGUCCACGCCGUAAACGAUGUCUACUAGCCGUUGGGGUCCUUGAGACUUUAGUGGCGCAGUUAACGCGAUAAGUAGACCGCCUGGGGAGUACGGCCGCAAGGUUAAAACUCAAAUGAAUUGACGGGGGCCCGCACAAGCGGUGGAGCAUGUGGUUUAAUUCGAUGCAACGCGAAGAACCUUACCUGGUCUUGACAUAGUGAGAAUCCUGUAGAGAUGCGGGAGUGCCUUCGGGAAUUCACAUACAGGUGCUGCAUGGCUGUCGUCAGCUCGUGUCGUGAGAUGUUGGGUUAAGUCCCGCAACGAGCGCAACCCUUUUCCUUAUUUGCCAGCGGGUUAAGCCGGGAACUUUAAGGAUACUGCCAGUGACAAACUGGAGGAAGGCGGGGUCGACGUCAAGUCAUCAUGGCCCUUACGACCAGGGCUACACACGUGCUACAAUGGUAGGUACAGAGGGUUGCUACACAGCGAUGUGAUGCUAAUCUCAAAAAGCCUAUCGUAGUCCGGAUUGGAGUCUGCAACUCGACUCCAUGAAGUCGGAAUCGCUAGUAAUCGCAGAUCAGAAUGCUGCGGUGAAUACGUUCCCGGGCCU
RNAcentral lists this ribosomal RNA (1355 nucleotides) under uncultured bacterium. RNAcentral describes it as "bacterial SSU rRNA". It matches the Rfam family "Bacterial small subunit ribosomal RNA", at positions 28 to 1381 of the family's 1533-position model. The record is from RNAcentral.